This 85-nucleotide transfer RNA is filed under the name Felis catus (domestic cat). It matches the Rfam family "tRNA". Rfam says of the family: Transfer RNA (tRNA) molecules are approximately 80 nucleotides in length. Their secondary structure includes four short double-helical elements and three loops (D, anti-codon, and T loops). The record is from Rfam by way of RNAcentral. Lineage: Eukaryota; Metazoa; Chordata; Mammalia; Carnivora; Felidae. RNAcentral also lists the same sequence under 3 other names.
GCCUGGGUGGCUCAGUCGGUUGAGCAUCCGACUUGAGCUCAGGUCAUGAUCUUACAGUUUGUGGGUUCAAGCCCCGCAUCAGGCU